This 127-nucleotide transfer-messenger RNA is filed under the name Polaromonas sp. Its description in RNAcentral is "partial transfer-messenger RNA". It matches the Rfam family "transfer-messenger RNA", at positions 236 to 374 of the family's 374-position model. From Rfam's summary of the family: Bacterial tmRNA, also known as 10Sa RNA or SsrA, is named for its dual tRNA and mRNA-like properties. Its role is to liberate the mRNA from a stalled ribosome. Lineage: Bacteria; Pseudomonadati; Pseudomonadota; Betaproteobacteria; Burkholderiales; Comamonadaceae. The record is from RNAcentral.
GUGCUGGCGUCCUGUGUAGCGUGCGACUGCGCGACACAGGUGGCGAGACUCAAAUCAGACCGCUAAACAUGUAGAUCUGCCCGAACAAGGCUUGCGGACGGGGGUUCAAAUCCCCCCAGCUCCACCA